CUCCUACGGGAGGCAGCAGUGGGGAAUUUUGGACAAUGAGCGAAAGCCUGAUCCAGCCAUGCCGCGUGAGUGAAGAAGGCCUUCGGGUUGUAAAGCUCUUUUAGUCGGAAAGAAAGAGUUGCAAUGAAUAAUUGUGAUUUAUGACGGUACCGACAGAAAAAGCACCGGCUAACUACGUGCCAGCGCCGCGGUAA
Molecule: ribosomal RNA, 194 nt
Filed under: uncultured bacterium
Lineage: Bacteria
Description: partial 16S ribosomal RNA
Rfam family: Bacterial small subunit ribosomal RNA
Source: RNAcentral